CUGCCGAGGGCUCGGCUGGCUUCAGACAAGUGGGACGGAGAUGAAGAGCGGCGUACAGGCCCUUUAAGAAGGAAUUGGCAAAGGAAGAGCUCAGUAUUUAAAUUUAGUGCAGACGAAGAGGGAAAAAAUUCCCUGCAGCAUCUGGUUUAUAUUACCGCUCUCUGCUUUGGUGGAGGGCGUGUUUACAGUGAAGCUCUCGGGGCUCUCCAGCAGCGCUCACUGUCCUGGCUGCUUCCCAUCUUGCUCAGCCUACAACUGGAGACAAGCAGUCCCUUGGUUAGGAGUUUAUGCAGCCGUGUGAGCAGUGGCUACCUACAGAGGCUAUAAAACUGCUGAUGCGUCCGUGUUCUGGCUGCUGCAGUGGUUUGAGGAGGGCCAGUUACUUCUGACUUGGGCUGAAGGCAAGGUUCGUGCUCAGCGUGGGAGGUGGAAGGAGCAGGAGGAUGACUGGGUUUUAGCUGUGGUGGAAUUUCUUGUCUGUGUGUGUGUGUGUAUUUUCUCUAUUGAAGUGUGGUUUGUGGUCUCGGAGGAGUUUCAGCAGAGCCAAGCUCCGAAAGGAAGCCUGAACGUAGCAGCAUUAGCUGGGCGAGCUGCUUGUCAGAAGGGAGGAGAGGUCUGCGCAGGUCUGUGGUAACCCAUGCGGAUGCUGCCUUCCACCAGGAGCUUGCACAUCGUGCAGCGCAUCUCCUGAGGGCUGCCUGCCCCUCCGGUCCUGUCUUCUGGAGAAGUACAGUUGUCGGACUCAGCACAUAGCUCCUCUGCUCCGUUUGGCAGGGAGGUGAAAAAUUCUCCCAAAUUCUUACUGAAAUGCUGCGUUCAGUAAUCGUAUAAAUGUAUCGUGAAAGUUCAUCGUGUUCAAGGACAAAAUAAAUACAUAUUUUUAGACC
Long non-coding RNA from Cygnus olor (mute swan), 887 nucleotides. RefSeq lists it as uncharacterized. The transcript has 2 exons. The record is from RefSeq and is a predicted model, not a curated record. Lineage: Eukaryota; Metazoa; Chordata; Aves; Anseriformes; Anatidae.